RNAcentral lists this ribosomal RNA (433 nucleotides) under uncultured bacterium. RNAcentral describes it as "partial 16S ribosomal RNA". It matches the Rfam family "Bacterial small subunit ribosomal RNA", at positions 29 to 507 of the family's 1533-position model. The record is from RNAcentral.
AACGAACGCUGGCGGCAUGCCUAACACAUGCAAGUCGAACGAGACCUUCGGGUCUAUUGGCGCACGGGUGCGUAACGCGUGGGAACCUGCCCUUAGGUUCGGAAUAACUCCCCGAAAGGGGUGCUAAUACCGGAUAAUGUCUUCGGACCAAAGAUUUAUCGCCUUUGGAUGGGCCCGCGUUGGAUUAGCUAGUUGGUAGGGUAAAAGCCUACCAAGGCGACGAUCCAUAGCUGGUCUGAGAGGAUGAUCAGCCACACUGGGACUGAGACACGGCCCAGACUCCUACGGGAGGCAGCAGUGGGGAAUAUUGGACAAUGGGCGAAAGCCUGAUCCAGCAAUGCCGCGUGAGUGAUGAAGGCCUUAGGGUUGUAAAGCUCUUUUACCCGGGAUGAUAAUGACAGUACCGGGAGAAUAAGCUCCGGCUAACUCCGUG